This is a non-coding RNA of Drosophila melanogaster (fruit fly), 470 nucleotides long. The record is from Ensembl. Lineage: Eukaryota; Metazoa; Arthropoda; Insecta; Diptera; Drosophilidae.
AUGCAUCACUGCAUCACUGCAGCCCCCAUUCCAGUCUCAGUCCCAAUCCCAAUCCCAUUCCCAUUCCCAUUUCCAAUCCCGAUCCCCGAGCGAGGCCCACCAUUUGCAAACAGGACAAUCAAAGGGCGCUGGACCCAUCCGACUGUAAUUGCCACAUAUUAUGACAAUCCAUGUAUGGAAUCGAAACCACAGCACGCUGGCACUGCCCAGCAAUGUGCAUUCGCAACCACCUGUGGGUCUGGUCUGGCCGGCCUGUCCACUUGGAUGGCCUUCGUCCGAAUGGAAUCCAUCCGGAGGUACACAUAUGGAUCGCUAGGCACAGCGACGAUGAUGGAGUUUAUUCCUGGAUUACUAUGUAAUCGCAAUAUAAUAAAAUAAAUUCCGAUAAUUGAAGGUUGUCAUAUACGAUAUUCGAUCAGUCUCUUGAUCAGUGAAAAUAAACAAUGCAUAUUCAAUUGAUGAUGAACUUU